CCUACGGGGGACAGCAGUGGGGGAUAUUGCACAAUGGGGGAAACCCUGAUGCAGCGACGCCGCGUGGGUGAAGAAGCGCCUCGGCGCGUAAAGCCCUGUCAGCAGGGAAGAAAAUGACGGUACCUGAAGAAGAAGCCCCGGCUAACUACGUGCCAGCAGCCGCGGUAAUACGUAGGGGGCAAGCGUUAUCCGGAUUUACUGGGUGUAAAGGGGGCGCAGACGGCGAUGCAAGCCAGGAGUGAAAGCCCGGGGCCCAACCCCGGGACUGCUCUUGGAACUGCGUGGGUAGAGUGCAGGAGGGGCAGGCGGAAUUCCUGGUGUAGCGGUGAAAUGCGUAGAUAUCAGGAGGAACACCGGUGGCGAAGGCGGCCUGCUGGACUGCAACUGACGUUGAGGCCCGAAAGCGUGGGGAGCAAACAGGAUUAGAUACCCCAGUAGUC
RNAcentral lists this ribosomal RNA (440 nucleotides) under uncultured bacterium. RNAcentral describes it as "partial 16S ribosomal RNA". It matches the Rfam family "Bacterial small subunit ribosomal RNA", at positions 338 to 795 of the family's 1533-position model. The record is from RNAcentral.